RNAcentral lists this unclassified non-coding RNA (198 nucleotides) under uncultured Sarcinomyces. Its description in RNAcentral is "sequence contains ITS1". Lineage: Eukaryota; Fungi; Ascomycota; Eurotiomycetes; Chaetothyriales. The record is from RNAcentral.
CCGAGUUAGGGUUUCGUCUGACGAGCCCGACCUCCCAACCCUUUGUCUAUUAUACCUUGUCGUUGCUUCGGUGGACCGGUCGCGACCAACUGGUCGUGACCGCCGGGGUCCCGUCCCUGGAGAGCGUCCGCCGACGGCCAACCACUAAACCCUGAAUCAACCGUGUCGUGUGUCUCAGUCCAUGAUUAAAUUAAAGCA